RNAcentral lists this unclassified non-coding RNA (339 nucleotides) under soil metagenome. RNAcentral describes it as "partial contains 5.8S ribosomal RNA, internal transcribed spacer 2, and large subunit ribosomal RNA". The stretch from base 1 to 120 matches the Rfam family "5.8S ribosomal RNA", at positions 35 to 154 of the family's 154-position model. The record is from RNAcentral.
GAUGAAGAACGCAGCGAAAUGCGAUACGUAGUGUGAAUUGCAGAAUUCAGUGAAUCAUCGAAUCUUUGAACGUACAUUGCACCUCUCGGUAUUCCGGGAGGUAUGCCUGUUCGAGCGUCAUUUGUACCCUCAAGCUCUGCUUGGUGUUGGGUGUUUGUUCCGCCUCUGUGUGUGAACUCGCCUCAAAACAAUUGGCAGCCGGCGUACUUGUUUCGGAGCGCAGCACAUUUUGCGAUCCAGAUCAACGUACAGCGGCAUCCAAGAAGCCUUAUUUAACGCUCUUGACCUCGGAUCAGGUAGGGAUACCCGCUGAACUUAAGCAUAUCAAUAAGCGGAGGA